This 1186-nucleotide long non-coding RNA is filed under the name Marmota monax (woodchuck). The record is from RNAcentral. Lineage: Eukaryota; Metazoa; Chordata; Mammalia; Rodentia; Sciuridae.
CCGCUUUCAGGUGUGCAAUUGAGUGGCAUUAAGUACAUUCACGAUAUUGUGGGAUCCUUUACCACUACCCUGGUUACUGGUCAUCUUUUUGGAAAGUAUGUUUUUGAUUCCAUGGACUGUUACAGAUCACCUCCAUGAUUUUCUUUUGGUGAUUCUGUUGCUGUUCUUUACAUAUGUCCUGAUGUAGGGGAGAAAUGGUUUUCUGUUCCUUAAAGCCAACAUAAGUUAACAGCAUCAUUUGCUGCUCUGCUCUUAACAAAAUAAAAGAAUAUAGUCUCUUGCAUUGGAGCAGUUUUGUCAUGGAUUAUGUAAAAGCAUGUGGCACCUACAAGAGUCCAGGUCAAGAAAGACAAGACAGUAAAAGGAACAUAGAAGAGCACAGUGGAUAAUAAAUAAUUUGAGAAGAGUGUGAAGUGUGCAAAUAGGUAAGGAGUCAGGUUAUGUGCAUCAGGAUGGCCAACAAUAGUACAAUUUUUUUACAUUCCUAUUUUAACUCUACUUGAAUGCCAUGAAGUGGGAGGUAAAUAAUCCCAUUUUAGAGAUUUUACAUAGGUGAACAACUGACUUCCCAAAUUGCCAAGUGACAAACCCUACCUGCCUUGAGUCACUCUGGUUGAUAAAUUCUUCCUGGAAACUGCCUUUCCCCUUCUAUUUCAGUGAGUUCAUUUUCUUCUGUUUUGUCACCUUCCCCUCCCUUUGAAGCUACUUCUUUGUUUUAUUUUGUUUUGCUGUACUCCGCUAUCUAUCCAGUCAGUGUUUGUAUUUUCAAGAAUUCCAUUCUGAACACACUCUUCAGCGUGAUUUCCCAGGGCAAUUUUCAACUAUCACAUAUGUGUCAAUGACCCUAAGUUUAUAUCUCCCAGCUUUAAAUUUCUCCUAUACCUUAAACCCAUAUUUUAAAAUAUGUAUCUUAAGGUGACUAUCCUGCAUUCUUCCCAAAUUCAUCAUGUUCAAAUCUAAGUAAUUAUAUUUUACUACCCAACCUCUGGUAAUCUCCUUAGCUACAGAAAUCCGUAUCCAAAGUAGUAUCCCAGACUAAAAAACUCGGAGAUAUUUUUAUCAACUUUCAUCAGCUGCCUCCCUGUUUUCACCAUGCUUCUAAGAAUUUAAUUACACCUACCAAAUGUCUCUUGAAUGGGUCUCUUUCCAUUUCACUGAACAAUUUUAGGAUCAUUUAAUAAGAAAU